CAGCACCUCAAGUGGUCAGGAUGAUUAUUGGGCCUAAAGCAUCCGUAGCCGGCGCUGUAAUUUUGCGGUUAAAUCUGUAUGCUCAACAGACAGGCUGCUGGGAAUACUGCAGAGCUAGGGAGUGGGAGAGGUAGACGGUACUCGGUAGGAAGGGGUAAAAUCCUUUGAUCUAUUGAUGACCACCUGUGGCGAAGGCGGUCUACCAGAACACGUCCGACGGUGAGGGAUGAAAGCUGGGGGAGCAAACCGGAUUAGAGACCCGAGUAGUCC
RNAcentral lists this ribosomal RNA (270 nucleotides) under uncultured archaeon. Its description in RNAcentral is "partial 16S ribosomal RNA". It matches the Rfam family "Archaeal small subunit ribosomal RNA", at positions 477 to 747 of the family's 1478-position model. The record is from RNAcentral.